Molecule: transfer RNA, 76 nt
Filed under: Escherichia coli
Lineage: Bacteria; Pseudomonadati; Pseudomonadota; Gammaproteobacteria; Enterobacterales; Enterobacteriaceae
Also listed under: 3 other names
Description: tRNA-Arg
Rfam family: tRNA
About the family: Transfer RNA (tRNA) molecules are approximately 80 nucleotides in length. Their secondary structure includes four short double-helical elements and three loops (D, anti-codon, and T loops).
Source: RNAcentral
ACCGCCAUUAGUUCAUCAGGAAAGAGCGCCAGCCUUCGAAGCUGGCUGCGCGGGGUUCAAGUCCCCGAAGGCGGUU